UCAUCGUGAACCAUCAUGUUAAGUUCACCCUUUUGUUCAUCAAUCAACGUUCUUUUCGUUGCUAAGAAUGAUCUCCUUAAAAUGAUAGAAAUUUCUUUAUCUGCCUCAAAAUCCAACAUAAUGAAGUCAGUAGGAAAGAUAAAUUUAUCGAAACGUAUCAAUAUGUUCUUGAUUUUUCCUUCAGGAUGUGCCAAUGACCUAUCUACCAAUUGCAGUGUGACUGCCGUUGGUUUGACCUCUCCAAUCCUCAGUUGCCUAAGCACAAAC
Molecule: long non-coding RNA, 267 nt
Filed under: Gossypium barbadense (sea-island cotton)
Lineage: Eukaryota; Viridiplantae; Streptophyta; Magnoliopsida; Malvales; Malvaceae
Description: long non-coding RNA (GBAR_LNC007052)
Source: RNAcentral